Hibiscus syriacus is the source of this 1351-nucleotide long non-coding RNA. RefSeq lists it as uncharacterized. NCBI's taxonomy places the organism in Eukaryota, Viridiplantae, Streptophyta, Magnoliopsida, Malvales, Malvaceae. The record is from RefSeq and is a predicted model, not a curated record. The transcript is spliced from 3 exons.
UUCAUCUUUUUGUUUUCUUUUGUGCCGCUACUCCCAUCUCACUCUAUCCCCGCUGCCGACCAUCCAUUUUUGUUAUCAUUCUCGUCGAUUCAGUGCAAAGGUGAGUCACCGUUGAACGUCAGACCCCGACCCUCCACUCUUCUUUCUUAGUUCGUUGUGCGUCACUGUUCAAUACUUUUAACCGAGACCACUCUCGCCACCGAUCGUGGUGUCGCGGUUGUCCGUGGCCGUCAAGUGGUUGGACCGCGCGUGAAGAAGGUCGCUUCGGUCUGGUAAGGGUGUGUCUUACCUUCUUCGGUCAUUGGUGGCCACUAUAGAGUACCUUCCGAUCGUUUUGGGCUUCCUUUGGGCAGCCGAGGUUGUUGUUCGGUCUGGUAAGGGUGUGUCUUACCUUCUUCGGUCACCGAAAGUCGUAGGGCAGCAGUAGGUACUACAAUCAUUGUUCGGCAGUCCCUUUAGUUCGAAUCAAACCCCACUGCCCGGUGAUAUCGAUUCGGAAUCAAAUCUAUCACCUCCUUCACGGUUACCGGUUAACUUUGAACCAACUCGGGUUACAAGAAUCAACAAUGAGUAUUAGAAUCGAUUCGGUUUGAUCUAUAGUUCGGGCCGAUCAUGGGAAGCGCUAUUGUCGUCGUUAGCUAUUUGUUGAGGUGUGUAUCCGAUGCUAAAUUUUGUUUGUAAUAAUUGUUUGGUUGUCUGAAUUUGAGUGGAAGCAUGAUUAUUUUGUGAUAAUGUUGAAUUAAAUAUAUUUCGGAUAACAAGCUGAUUGAAAGUUGAUUUCAAGCAUGAUGGUAAUGUGACUUUGAUUUAUCAGUUGAAAUUCAAGAAAGUAUGAUAUGUGAUAUGUGUUAUGUAUUGGACUCAGAUUAUUUGUAUAUGUAAUUAUUAUGUUCGAAUUAUAUCAUAAUUUGGAUAUAUGAUAUUCGAGUAUGUGUUAUUCGGAUAUGUGUUAUUCGGAUCGGAUCAGAUACCAGAUAUGUGUGUCAUUUGCAUAUCAUAUUGGGAUGAAUUUUAAUAGGGGAAGUUAAGUGCAUUCACUCGACGGGGUGACUGUCACUUUUGAAUUCUGUGACCUCUGUCUUUGUGGUAGACCCCACUCUUCGGAUAUGGAUUAUUUGUAGUUUGAGUGGUUCUGGGGAACCCAUCCAUUGAUGGAGUGUUUGGAGUACAGGUGGGUGCAUGAACAUUUGCAUACAUUUAAAUAUUUGAUUAUCGUUGAUUGAUUCAAAAUAUGAUGAUUACUGUUUGUUUCAGAUUGUGCUGUGACUUGUGUUUAAUUGAACUUUAGAGACACACCAAGCUUAAUAGCUUACACCCCUUAGUUUCUCUCAUUCAGAUACUCAGGUUAGGA